CUGUCCCGCCCGCCCGCCAGCCCGCCAGCCAGCGGCGGCUCCUCCGCAGUGCUUUCGGCUGCGAGCCUGGGCGGCGGCGCUUGACUUUCGGGGAGCCCCGUGGCUUGGGCAAGCUUACUCCUCCGCUCUAAGCGUCCGCCCCUCACUGCCUGUGAAACCCUUACAACCAUGAGGGAACACCUCAAAGGGUAAGUGGAUCGCAGCCCUGGACCCCCUCUUAUCCCCGCAAUUCGUGCACUUGUGGCACGAGCAGCUGCCAGGGGAAGGCAAAACUUGGACCAGAAGCAGUGCUAGCUGGUGGCGGCUGGUAUCAGCUAGACCGGGGCUUCCGGGCAGGUCUCCCCGCCUGUCCUGGGAGCCUCUGCAGGUGCGUCCCUGGGGCUUCCACCCCGGCGCCAGUGCUUGCCAGCCAGCUCCUUCCUGGCUGCUGGGACGGCUCGGAGAGCUAAAGCGGAUUUCUCGCUUUGCCCAGAGAGGGACAGCUGGUUUCCUCCUGCGGGGAUCGGGCCCGGGGAGCUUUUUGCUCCUUUGUGGGGCUCCCAGUUUGGACAGGAACCAGGCGGACUGUUCCCCGAAACCGUCAUUGGACCUGGCAGGAAAAAGGGGCGCACGCACGCGGUUCUACCUUGCAUUGCACUGCUAAGUGCCAAAAGGUCAACUUUCUGCCUGAUUUCUUCCGAGGAUUCCAACUGACAUUUCCCUCCCUGUGUUUUCUCCUGUGCUUAUUCCAUGCUGCAGGACUUGGAGAAAUAGAGAAAACACGGGCAAUUAAAGCCUAGAAAGUCAAGGAAUUGACUGAGAAAAGAAAGGGGGGCUUAAGGGUUUGAGAUUUUCUAUGUACUGUUAUUAUUUGUAGUAUUAUUAUUAAUGUGCUUAUUGGGUUUUUGAGGUUCAGUGUGGAGUCAUUUCAGAGUGCGUUCUCUGUUCUCCGGGUGUCUGCUAAGUCCUUAAGCAAAGUUUGUGAUUCUUAAUCUGAUCACAAUGGAAAGGGCAAGACACUGCUUAUCUCACUUAAAUGUGAAGUUAAGUUUGAAACUUAAAUUGAAUGGGGUUAAUUGUCCAAGGGAGCCAUAGUAUUAAUUAUAAAACACUUUAAUCCCAAGUGUGUGUGUGUGUGGGGGGGGGAUCCAUCUUCUGGUUUAAGUCAAAGUAAAGUCUUUAAGUGAAAUCAACAUUCUUUCUUUAGCAAAUGUUCUUCCUGGUUCCUGAGUUAACUCUCCCUGUCUGUCCUUGCCAACCCAUCAUUGUGUGUGUGUGUGUGUGUGUGUGUGUGUGUGUGUGUGUGUGCCUAGAUAAUUUUAUUUCCUCGUUCCAAACCUGGGGAGGAUACCCUUGCUCUUAAAGAAGUGAGAGGGGCAAAGGAAACAACAUGGCUAUAUGAAAGGUUUCUGACCCUUGAGCAGUGUGGAAUUGCUUUCAGUCGUCAGUGUUUGAUCAUGCAUUGGACAUGACCCUGAAAUGAAAUUGCCUUGGCCAAAGUUGAGGGUGGGUGGGAGGUAAGCCUUGAAAAACAAAUAGAGCUGGGAGGACAAGUAACAGCUGGAACAGCCACCAAGGCCAUCAUCUUUGCCCCGAGUUCACCCAAACAGAAUGAAAUGUUAACUGUCUCUGAGAGCGAGACAUGGGAACAAAAAUCAGACUGCUGGGGCUUAGAUUGACACAUAGCCACUGAAGUCCCUUCCCCACAGUAGCAGAAACUUCUAAAUCUGUUUUCCCAUCCCCACCCUGCCAGUGUUCCAGCAGUACUAGCCAAGUUCAACAAUUCAGCAUGCAAAUGCCAAGGCUCCUCUAGAAAGUGUCUGAUCCCCAGAUUAAAUGGAAAUCUGUAUGUGUGUGUGUGAAUGUGUUUGUUUGUGUGUGUGUGUGUAUGUGUGUGUUCCAGAUCAUAUAUGAAACUAGACCCUAAUCCCAAGUAAAACGCCAGAGAAGGCUACUUUUUUUUUUAAUAUUGGUGCAUAGUGAUUAGUUCAGCCCUGGG
Molecule: long non-coding RNA, 1978 nt
Filed under: Mus musculus (house mouse)
Lineage: Eukaryota; Metazoa; Chordata; Mammalia; Rodentia; Muridae
Description: long non-coding RNA chrX:85048271-85050249
Source: RNAcentral